CCUACGGGAGGCUGCAGUGGGGAAUAUUGGACAAUGGGGGGAACCCUGAUCCAGCGACGCCGCGUGAGUGAAGAAGUAUUUCGGUAUGUAAAGCUCUAUCAGCAGGGAAGAAAGAAAUGACGGUACCUGACUAAGAAGCCCCGGCUAACUACGUGCCAGCAGCCGCGGUAAUACGUAGGGGGCAAGCGUUAUCCGGAUUUACUGGGUGUAAAGGGAGCGUAGACGGCGAUGUAAGUCUGAAGUGAAAGGCGGGGGCCCAACCUCCGGACUGCUUUGGAAACUGUAUGGCUGGAGUGCAGGGGAGGUAAGUGGAAUUCCUAGUGUAGCGGUGAAAUGCGUAGAUAUUAGGAGGAACACCAGUGGCGAAGGCGGCUUACUGGACUGUAACUGACGUUGAGGCUCGAAAGCGUGGGGAGCAAACAGGAUUAGAUACCCCUGUAGUC
Molecule: ribosomal RNA, 443 nt
Filed under: uncultured bacterium
Lineage: Bacteria
Description: partial 16S ribosomal RNA
Rfam family: Bacterial small subunit ribosomal RNA
Source: RNAcentral